Molecule: ribosomal RNA, 397 nt
Filed under: uncultured archaeon
Lineage: Archaea
Description: bacterial SSU rRNA
Rfam family: Archaeal small subunit ribosomal RNA
Source: RNAcentral
CACCAGCCCCUCGAGUGGUGGGGACUAUUAUUUGGCCUAAAGCGUCCGUAGCUGGCUGUAUCCGUCCCCCGUUAAAUCCAGCGUCCUAAACGUUGGACUGCGGGUGAUACCAUACAGCUAGAGGGUGGGAUAGGUGAGCGGUAUUUCUGGGGUAGGGGCGAAAUCCUUUGAUCCCAGGAGGACCACCAGUGGCGAAGGCUGCUCACUAGAACACGCCUGACGGUCAGGGACGAAAGCUGGGGCAGCGAACCGGAUUAGAUACCCGGGUAGUCCCAGCUGUAAACGAUGCUAGCUAGGUGUUGGGUCGGCCACGUGCCGCCCCAGUGCCGCAGGGAAGCCGUUAAGCUAGCCGCCUGGGGAGUACGGCCGCAAGGCUGAAACUUAAAGGAAUUGACGG